GAUCCUGGCUCAGGAUGAACGCUGGCGGCAUGCCUAAGAUAUGCAAGUCGAGCGAUUCUACUCGAACCUCUCGUAGGAUUGAGUAGAAAGCGGCGGACGGCUGAGUAAUACAUAGGAAUCUCCCCCUUUCUGGGAAAUAGUAUCGAGAAAUCGAUAAUAAUGUCCCAUGGUCCCCACCUUCUGGUUGGGUAAAGGACGUAACUGUUCGGAAAGGGAUGAGCUUAUGGCCUAUCAGGUAGUUGGUGAGGUAAAGGCUCACCAAGCCGAUGACGGGUAGCUGGCUUUAGUGAGUGGUCAGCCAGAGGGGGACUGAGACACGGCCCCCACUCCUACGGGAGGCAGCAAUUAGGAAUAGUCGGCAAUGGGCGAAAGCCUGACCGCGCAAUGCCGCGUGUAGGAAGAAGUUCGAAAGAAUGUAAACUACUGUGGUAGGGGAAGAAGCCCCUCUCUUGACGGUACCCUACUAGAAAGGAGCCGCUAACUUCGUGCCAGAAGCGUCGGUAAUACGGGGGCUCCAAGCGUUAUCCGGUGUUAUUGGGCGUAAAGAGUCGUGUAGGUGGUUGGGUAAGUUAUCUUUCAAAUAUCUUUGCUUAACAAAGAGGAGGGGGAUAAUACUGCUCGACUAGAAUUUUCUCAAGGGAGAUCGGAACUGAGGGAGGAGUAGUGAAAUGCGUUGAUACCCUCGGGAACACCAGUGGCGUAGGCGGAUCUCUGGGAGAAGAUUGACACUGAGACACGAAAGCUAGGGGAGCGAAGCAGAUUAGAGACCUGCGUAGUCCUAGCCGUAAACGCAUGCUUGCUAGCUGCAUGAAUCUACCUUCGGGUGGUAUCGUGUGGCGAAGGUAACCCGUUAAGCAAGCCGCCUGGAAAGUACGGCCGCAAGGCUGAAAUUCAAAGGAAUUGGCGGGGAGGCACACAACCAGUGGAACAUGUGGUUUAGUUCGAGACUAACCGAAGAACCUCACCAGGGUUUGACAUGUAGCUGCACGUCUUAAGAAAUUAAGACUCUCUUGAAGGUGCUACACAGGUGCUGCAUGGCUGUCGUCAGCUCGUUCCGUGAGGAGUGCCCUUAAGUGGGACAACGAGCGCAACCCCUAUUACAUGUUAGAAAUGUCAUGUAAGACUGCCUUGCCAUUUGGCGGGGAGGAAGGAGGGGCAGACGUCAAGUCCGCAUGGUCCUUAUGCCCUGGGCUACACACAUGUUACAAUGAGUACGGCAAUGAGUCUGUCGCGAGCACGUAAGUGUAAGCUAAUCUCUUAAAUGUACUCUCAGUGGGGAUUGAGGUCUGCAACUCGACCUCAUGAACACGGAAUUGGUAGUAAUCGCGGGUCAGCUAUACCGCGGUGAAUACGUUCUUGCCUCUUGCA
Molecule: ribosomal RNA, 1368 nt
Filed under: uncultured Microgenomates group bacterium
Lineage: Bacteria
Description: bacterial SSU rRNA
Rfam family: Bacterial small subunit ribosomal RNA
Source: RNAcentral